GCUAGUUGUAUUAACUAUUAGUUAAUACAAGAUCGACUAUGUCGACUAAAGUUCUAGGUAGAAUAAUGAUGAUGACAAUUUUCUACCUAUAUGUCUUGACCAAAUCUCGUGCCAGCAGUCGCGGUAAUACGUGAAAGACUAGUGUUAUUCAUCUUUAAUAGGUUUAAAGGGUACCUAGACGGUUUAUCUAGCCCAAAACAGGGUACGGAUUUUCUAGAGUUUUAUGUGAGGAGGGGAGUACUCAUAGAGUAAAGAUGAAAUUUUGUGAUACUAUGGGGAAACUGGUGGCGGCGAAAGCAACCUUCUAUGUAUAAACUGACGUUGAGGGACGAAGGCUUGGGUAGCAAAUAGGAUUAGAUACCCUAGUAGUCCAAGCAGACAAUUCUGAAUGCCAUAGAUUAGAUUUUUUUUUGGUCUAUAAAUGAAAGUGUAAGCAUUCCACCUUAGGAGUAAUGUGGCAACACAGGAACUGAAAUCAUUAGACCGUUUCUGAAACCAGUAGUGAAGUAUGUUAUUUAAUUUGUUAGUCCUCAAAAAACCUUACCACAACUUGAAUAUUAUUUAAUUAAUACAAGCGUUGCACGGCUGUCUUCAGUUAAUGUCGUGAGAUUUUGGUUAACUCCCUCAAUUAACGUAAACCCUUACUUUAUU
Molecule: ribosomal RNA, 651 nt
Filed under: Sarcogyne regularis
Lineage: Eukaryota; Fungi; Ascomycota; Lecanoromycetes; Acarosporales; Acarosporaceae
Description: SSU rRNA
Rfam family: Bacterial small subunit ribosomal RNA
Source: RNAcentral